GACGAACGCUGGCGGCGUGCUUAACACAUGCAAGUCGAACGGUGACGGGGAGCUUGCUCCCCUGAUCAGUGGCGAACGGGUGAGUAACACGUGGGCAAUCUGCCCCUGACUUCGGGAUAACGCUUCGAAAGAGGUGCUAAUACCGGAUAUGAACCUCGCAGGCAUCUGCGAGGUUGGAAAGUUUCUCGGUCAGGGAUGAGCCCGCGGCCUAUCAGCUAGUUGGUGAGGUAAUGGCUCACCAAGGCGACGACGGGUAGCCGGCCUGAGAGGGCGACCGGCCACACUGGGACUGAGACACGGCCCAGACUCCUACGGGAGGCAGCAGUGGGGAAUAUUGCGCAAUGGGCGAAAGCCUGACGCAGCAACGCCGCGUGAGGGAUGACGGCCUUCGGUUGGUAAACCUCUUUCUAGCAGGGAAGAAGCGAAAGUGACGGUACCUGCAGAAGAAGACACCGGCUAACUACGUAGCCAGCAGCCGCGGUAA
This 484-nucleotide ribosomal RNA is filed under the name uncultured bacterium. RNAcentral describes it as "bacterial SSU rRNA". It matches the Rfam family "Bacterial small subunit ribosomal RNA", at positions 28 to 523 of the family's 1533-position model. The record is from RNAcentral.